RNAcentral lists this ribosomal RNA (253 nucleotides) under uncultured bacterium. RNAcentral's name for it is "partial 16S ribosomal RNA". It matches the Rfam family "Bacterial small subunit ribosomal RNA", at positions 524 to 776 of the family's 1533-position model. The record is from RNAcentral.
UACGGAGGGUGCGAGCGUUGUCCGGAAUCACUGGGCGUAAAGGGCGCGUAGGCGGCCUUCUAAGUCGAACGUGAAAUCCCCGGGCUCAACCCGGGAACUGCGUCCGAUACUGGGAGGCUUGAAUCCGGGAGAGGGAUGUGGAAUUCCAGGUGUAGCGGUGAAAUGCGUAGAUAUCUGGAGGAACACCUGAGGCGAAGGCGGGCUACUGGGCCGAUACUGACGCUGAUGCGCGAAAGCCAGGGGAGCGAACGGG